GACGAACGCUGGCGGCGUGCUUAACACAUGCAAGUCGAACGGAAAGGCCUCUUUCGGGGGGUACUCGAGUGGCGAACGGGUGAGUAACACGUGAGUAACCUGCCCUUGACUUUGGGAUAACUUCAGGAAACUGGGGCUAAUACCGGAUAGGAGCUCCUGCUGCAUGGUGGGGGUUGGAAAGUUUCGGCGGUUGGGGAUGGACUCGCGGCUUAUCAGCUUGUUGGUGGGGUAGUGGCUUACCAAGGCUUUGACGGGUAGCCGGCCUGAGAGGGUGACCGGCCACAGUGGGACUGGGAUACGGCCCAGACUCCUACGGGAGGCAGCAGUGGGGAAGAUUGCACAAUGGGUGGAAGCCUGAUGCAGCAACGCCGUGUGCGGGAUGACGGCCUUCGGGUUGUAAACCGCUUUCGCUCAUGACGAAGCUUUGUGUGACGGUAGUGGGUAAAGAAGCACCGGCUAACUACGUG
This 467-nucleotide ribosomal RNA is filed under the name uncultured bacterium. RNAcentral describes it as "partial 16S ribosomal RNA". It matches the Rfam family "Bacterial small subunit ribosomal RNA", at positions 28 to 507 of the family's 1533-position model. The record is from RNAcentral.